AGAGUUUGAUCAUGGCUCAGGAUGAACGCUAGCUACAGGCUUAACACAUGCAAGUCGAGGGGCAGCAUGUUGGUUGCUUGCAACCAAUGAUGGCGACCGGCGCACGGGUGAGUAACGCGUAUCCAACCUACCCUUGUCCAUCGGAUAACCCGUCGAAAGGCGGCCUAACACGAUAUGCGGUUCACAGCAGGCAUCUAAGGUGAACGAAAUGUGAAGGAGAAGGAUGGGGAUGCGUCUGAUUAGCUUGUUGGCGGGGUAACGGCCACAAGGCUACGAUCAGUAGGGUUCUGAGAGGACGGUCCCCCANAUUGGAACUGAGACACGGUCCAAACUCCGUACGGGAGGCA
Molecule: ribosomal RNA, 347 nt
Filed under: uncultured bacterium
Lineage: Bacteria
Description: bacterial SSU rRNA
Rfam family: Bacterial small subunit ribosomal RNA
Source: RNAcentral